RNAcentral lists this small RNA (1459 nucleotides) under Pan troglodytes (chimpanzee). Its description in RNAcentral is "retained intron". Lineage: Eukaryota; Metazoa; Chordata; Mammalia; Primates; Hominidae. The record is from RNAcentral.
ACAGGGCGUUCCCGCCCGGGACUAAGCCGGGGAGCGCAUCCCGGCUACUGCGGGUCCUGGGUCUUCACCUGCGGAGCCUUUCGGCAGCUGAGCGGUGGGAGGGACCUGAGCCGCGGCGCUAGGAUGGGAAACAGUGCGCUCCGCGCUCAUGUGGAAACGGCGCAGAAAACUGGUGUCUUUCAGCUUAAGGACCGAGGGCUGACCGAGUUCCCCGCAGACUUGCAGAAGCUGACGAGCAAUCUCAGGACAAUCGACUUGUCCAACAACAAGAUCGAAAGCCUACCGCCUUUGCUGAUAGGAAAGUUCACUCUGCUGAAGAGCCUCUCCCUGAACAACAACAAACUGAGUAUGGCUCUUGCCAGGGAGGCUUUUGCUAGUGAUCAGCUGUUACCAGGGGUGGUUUUCUCUUACAAGCUGAUUUUUGUUUUUGUUAUGAAACCGUGCAGGAGGGCUCAAGUUGCGAAUGCCGGAAUCCUUGAAGCCUUCUUUCUACUUCUUGUAAUUACAUCUAAAAUAAGCCUUAUAAUGAUUGGGUGUUAUAAUGAUUGUUACUGGGUUAAUUUGGACUUGAAAGAGAAGAACAUUUUGGGGAUGUAAUGUAAACAAAGCUACCUAACUUGGAAUGGGGGAUGGAUGAGAAGGGGAGGAUCUUCCAAAUAUCACAAAAUUGCUGUCGGAUUGUGCCUUGGGCCCCUUUACAAAAGGAGCCCAUUAUACACACAAAUGCUCUCCGGCAUUUUGAUGGCACCCUCACCUUCUAAAGACUAUGUUGGUAAAAUGCAAUAUCUAAAAAUGGCACAUGUGGGAGUUUUACAUAUAUUAACAAGAGGCGAAGCAGGCUGCCAUAUAGUCUUUAUAAACUUCAUCAAAGUUGUUUUCAGCUCUAUCAGAUUCAGGUUUUAAAAAAAUUUUUCUUUGCCAGCUGUUCUGCCUGAUGAGAUAUGCAAUCUGAAAAAACUAGAGACGCUAAGCCUAAACAACAAUCACCUUAGAGAGCUGCCGUCUACCUUUGGGCAACUCUCUGCCCUCAAGACCCUGAGCCUCUCUGGGAACCAACUGGGAGCAUUACCUCCCCAACUUUGUAGCCUACGGCACCUAGAUGUGAUGGAUCUCUCUAAGAACCAGAUUCGAAGUAUACCUGACUCAGUGGGAGAGCUGCAAGUCAUCGAACUCAACCUCAACCAGAAUCAGAUAUCUCAGAUCUCAGUGAAGAUAUCUUGCUGUCCACGCCUUAAAAUUCUUCGCCUGGAAGAGAAUUGUCUUGAGCUCAGCAUGCUUCCCCAGAGCAUCCUCAGUGAUUCCCAGAUCUGUCUGCUUGCUGUGGAAGGCAAUCUUUUUGAAAUAAAGAAACUUCGAGAACUGGAAGGCUAUGAUAAGUACAUGGAGAGGUUCACAGCCACCAAGAAGAAGUUUGCGUGAAGUUCUCCAGGACUAUGGAAACCUUACAGGAUACUGACUU